Molecule: ribosomal RNA, 117 nt
Filed under: Danio rerio (zebrafish)
Lineage: Eukaryota; Metazoa; Chordata; Actinopteri; Cypriniformes; Danionidae
Source: RNAcentral
CACUACAGCCAUAUCACCCUGCAGCCCAAGACCGGCUACUCACUAAAGCUAAGCAGGGCUGAGCCUGGUCAGUACCUGGAUGGGAGACCACUAGGGAACACUAGGUUGCUGUUGGAA